AUUGAACGCUGGCGGCAGGCCUAACACAUGCAAGUCGAACGGUAACAGGCCUUCGGGCGCUGACGAGUGGCGGACGGGUGAGUAACGCGUGGGAAUCUGCCUAGUAUGGGGGACAACCUGGGGAAACUCAGGCUAAUACCGCAUACGCCCUACGGGGGAAAGCAGGGGAUCUUCGGACCUUGCGCUAUUAGAUGAGCCUGCGUCGGAUUAGCUUGUUGGUGGGGUAAAGGCCUACCAAGGCGACGAUCCGUAGCUGGUUUGAGAGGACGAUCAGCCACACUGGGACUGAGACACGGCCCAGACUCCUACGGGAGGCAGCAGUGGGGAAUAUUGGACAAUGGGGGCAACCCUGAUCCAGCAAUGCCGCGUGUGUGAAGAAGGCCUGCGGGUUGUAAAGCACUUUCGGAUGGGAAGAAAAGCUCAAGGCUAAUAUCCUUGAGUCUUGACGUUACUAUCAGAAGAAGCACCGGCUAACUCUGUG
RNAcentral lists this ribosomal RNA (481 nucleotides) under uncultured bacterium. RNAcentral's name for it is "bacterial SSU rRNA". It matches the Rfam family "Bacterial small subunit ribosomal RNA", at positions 30 to 507 of the family's 1533-position model. The record is from RNAcentral.